Molecule: long non-coding RNA, 1446 nt
Organism: Artibeus jamaicensis (Jamaican fruit-eating bat)
Lineage: Eukaryota; Metazoa; Chordata; Mammalia; Chiroptera; Phyllostomidae
Exons: 4
Source: RefSeq, a predicted model, not a curated record
CUUUAGCUCUCAGCCUCCAGGUUGCCUGUCCAGAGAGAGGUGUGAUUUCAGAUCUAGGGUGCAAAGUCACAUGCUGUUUGUAUUCUAAUGGACUCUCCAUCCUGCUCCAUAGAGAGUAGGGUUUCUCAUUGCUAUGGAUCAUAUUUUCUCCUGGGGGAUUUUUCUCCACAUCGUAGGUGCUUACUAGUAAUCCUUCCCUCUGUUCAGUGCAUGCCAGUAACUCCCACCUUAACCCCACCCCAAGGACAAUCUGAAAGGUCUCCAUACAAUGUGCCAAAUGUCCCCUUGGGGGAAAUUCCACCUGAGGUGGAAAACCACUGAGCUGGAAGCUGUGAUCAUGUUUGGAACCUGAGUGAUCUGUCCUUGGUUUGAAAAGCUGGCAGUGUGGAAUGAAUGGUGAGACAGUGCUAACUCCUGAACCUGUUGCAACUGAGAGACCAUGGACAUCUGCCUUCCAAGCACAUCAGUGACACCCCUGGUCCUGGGAAGCAGAGUAUUGUGUGGCGAUGACUCUUCUAAGACCUCCUCUAAAGUCCUCAACAUUAGAAAACAGGUCCCUGGGACUUGCAGGCAGGGAGCUGUGGGCAGCAGCAGCUCGUCCCGGGCUCACCCCCUGAUCCUGUCUCCAAGGAACUUCUUGCGUCUUUCUCAAGAAGCAGCUCCACCCAUGCUCACUCUUGUUGCUGUGAUUGUGCCUCUUCUGUCUGAAGCCCUUUCUUUGUUUCACUGUCCUUAGAUUUAAUAUACAAACUCUCAAAAUUCCCUAGCUUUGUGUCAUGAAAUUUUGCUGCAGGAGGUCAAGAACCUACAGACAUGAGACCUUUCCAGGGCAAACCCCCCUUGGGUCCAGUCCCUUUUCAGUGACAGAAUAACCAAAUUUUGUGUUAUUUGUUUACCUGUGGAUGGAUACUUGAAUACUUUCUACCUUUCAGUUUUUAUUCACAGUGCUGUUAUAUAUAAUCAUGUAUGAGUUUGUUAUAACGUCUGUCUUCAGUUUCUCAGAUUGUAUUUCAAAGUAGUUUUUGAACACAGGAUAAUUUUUUUUGAGAAAAUGUCAAACCAUUUUAUACAAGGUCUGCAAUAUUUUACAUUUUCAAAAGAAAUGGUCAACUGUUCUAAUAUUAGUUUGUGAUCAUGAAAAUUUCUCAGUUUUGCUUUCUUAUAGCCUUUGUAGUGUCUGUGAAGGGGUAUUGUGCUGUGAUGUAGCCAUUGAACAUCUUCUCUGGUAUUUCUUUUUUACCACUUCUAUGAAUGUCUUCUCAGUAGAAGGGACCAUUCAAGUUUUUUUUUUUUAAUAUAGAUGUCUUCCUGGGUGUUAUGGCUCACUGGUUGAGCACCUACCUGUAAACCAAAGGGGUCUCUGGUUCGAUUCCCAGUCAGGGCACAUGCCUGGGUUGAGGGCCAGGUUCCCAGUAGGGGGCAUGUGAGAGGCAAUCACAGAUCGAU